Molecule: long non-coding RNA, 327 nt
Filed under: Zostera marina
Lineage: Eukaryota; Viridiplantae; Streptophyta; Magnoliopsida; Alismatales; Zosteraceae
Description: long non-coding RNA (ZMAR_LNC002637)
Source: RNAcentral
UCCCUCGUGCUCAGCUCAAUCGAGGCAUUCAUGUGCACUCGAUUCGGAUCGUUCCACAUCUCCCGGCUCCCAGGGAGAAACUCAGAAGUGAUAAACACAAAUUCCUUCUUCCAAUUGCAUCCGAAGUUCGUCGGGAGCUCGUCGACGAUAUUCUUGUCAAAGUGUCGUCGCGUGAAACCAAAGCGACCGGAUGCGGACUUCUCUCUUGUGAGCUUGUAGUAGUAGAGAAACAAGCUCGCCGUCGCAGCGACAUUCAACCCCCAGCAUAUAUUCAUGAAACCCCGCAGGAUCACGAAGAAUCCCGCCGGGAGCUGCGACAAUGAAACU